Molecule: long non-coding RNA, 1189 nt
Filed under: Capra hircus (goat)
Lineage: Eukaryota; Metazoa; Chordata; Mammalia; Artiodactyla; Bovidae
Description: lncRNA (ENSCHIG00000001427.1)
Source: RNAcentral
CAUUUAGUUAACAAAAUUAAUGCCUUUAAAUCACAAUUUGAUUUUUGCUAAUACAUAACCAGUUCUUUCUCUGUCCCUGCUCCAAUAAGGGUCAUAAUCAGUAAGCAUGGUUUGGAAUCAAUUCUUUUUGGUAAACUCCCUAGCCACCGCCUGAUUCUAGCCUACUAAAGGCAUUAUCUUUCACACAAAUGUGGAAAAAUGAAUAACGCUUCAUAGAAUAAUGUGUAAUAAAUUGGGAGCAUGCCUCAUCUAGCACAAACCUGCAAUGUUCCUUGUGUGACUAAAAGCCACAAUUACUCUGGCUGGGCAUUGUCGUCUCUUCAGACGCUGGACACCGUCUACUUGGUGCUGAAGCUGUGAAGCCUCCGAGGACCAGCGGCUGGACGAGCUGUUGCAGGAGGGGACCCAGGCCACUUCAGCAGCCCCACUCAGCUUUGCAAGCACUGUGGGGAGUUUACCACAUUCCCCUCCCCACGAGGAUGUGUUUUCAUCUCAGCACUUGGCUUCAUCCUUACCAAGCUUCCAGUGCCUGAGCUUAUGAAAGAACACAGCCAGGUGGCGCUAGUGUAAAGAAUGUGCCUGUCAAAGCAAGAGACAUAAGAGACGCAGGUUCAAUCCCCGGGUCAGGAAGAUCCCCUGGGGAGGACAAACGGCAACCCACUCCAAUAUUCUUGCCUGGAGAAUCCCAUGGACAUAAGAGCAUGGCAGGCUACAGUCCAUGGGGUCACAAAGAGUUGGACCUGACUAACAGCAUGCAAGCACAUGGAAAGGCUACUUUAACCUGGUGAGAAGGUGCAGAAACACUCAGGCUGGCUGUGGAGGUGUCCGAAGAUGACGCAAAAGGAGAUGAGUGGAGAGGAGCAUCAUGGGAAGGCACGGGAGGAUGGAUGUGGCUGGAAGGAUGUGCGAGUACCAGUCCAACCCUGCUGGGACUUGUGUCAGCAUCAAAGAACCUAACAGUCCAGGAGAGGGGUAGCAGCUUCCUUUGGGCUUGGUGACCAAAAAUGUAGGCCAUCCAGCCUGAGGCACUUACGAGAAUAAGGGGAGUCUCUAAGUUUAAAAAACUUGAACUCCCGAUGGCUCUAUUAUGGUGGCAGACUUGUAAAAUAAUUGCAUUAAAAAUUAUGUUAAAAUGUACAUUUUCUAAAAAAUAAAAAUAGCAUAUAUUUGCAUAUAUUAAAUAAAAAAC